UAGAUUCUGGGAAUGGGAGUUGUCUACUUG
This 30-nucleotide non-coding RNA is filed under the name Mus musculus (house mouse). Lineage: Eukaryota; Metazoa; Chordata; Mammalia; Rodentia; Muridae. The record is from RNAcentral.